AAUUGUUACUUUAAAGAAAGAAAACUCCCAAUUCCAAUCCUCUUCAUGUGCAUACAAAUUGGUAGCCCAUCCUGCAAUACUUUUUGUUCAUUAUUUUUUUCUAAAAGAAAAAAGAAACUAAAACCAAUAGUCACUACUACAGUGAUAUUCCUUUGACAAUAAUCCAUGCAGACCAAUUGACGUGAAUAUAUCAUGCUAUGCAAAUAUUGUUACUUCAUCA
RNAcentral lists this unclassified non-coding RNA (220 nucleotides) under Hevea brasiliensis (rubber tree). Lineage: Eukaryota; Viridiplantae; Streptophyta; Magnoliopsida; Malpighiales; Euphorbiaceae. The record is from RNAcentral.